Long non-coding RNA from Apodemus sylvaticus (European woodmouse), 1108 nucleotides. RefSeq lists it as uncharacterized. Lineage: Eukaryota; Metazoa; Chordata; Mammalia; Rodentia; Muridae. The transcript is spliced from 3 exons. The record is from RefSeq and is a predicted model, not a curated record.
UCCGCCUGCCUCUGCCUCCUGAGUGCUGAGAUUAAAGGCAUGCGCCACCACUGCCUGGUUUGGGAUGAAGACUUUAAUAGGCUUCUGCCUCCAGCUGGGUGCAGGCAUGGAGAGGAAAGAAGACCCCACUGCAUUUCCUGUCCUGAGUUUCUGAGUGUUGUCAGCAGGGAGAGUCCCUGACUCAGCAAGGAGACCAGCUGCUCUGCAGUCACCGUACAACUCAAGCUGACUGGCUUGAAGGCACAGGCAGUGUCUGUCCCCGGGCCUACCUGUGCCAGUGACUCUCCGUCACAGCUUGAUUGACAGGGGACUCUAGGUUAUCUCUGGGACCUCAGGGUUGAGCAAAGGCCCCAGUCUCCCUCUCCAGUCUCUCCCCCAGCCACCUACCAGGUCCCCAACUCCAGCUCCCAGCCCCCCACAAGCUAUUCCCUGCCCAUCCCAGCUACCUGAAGGUGGCACCUCCUGUCCCUUAGGGGACAGAUGGGAUGCUCAGGGCCAUAACAGAAUGGUUAGGAGUGGACCCAUCAUCACUUGGCCUGAACAGAUGAACGAUCAGUGUGGUGACUGAAGCAGGAGGAUUUCUGCAAGCUCAAGGUUUGGCUGCAAGCUCCUCUUCCCACAGAGCCAUCUUGCUGACCGCAUUCUGGUAUUGGGUUCAGAGUACAGCCAGAGCCCCUAACACUGGAUAGAAGAGAAAAGAAGUUCCUGAAUAAAGCCAGAGUUGAAGAGGAGUGACAUCAUCCUCACACUACUUGCUGAUUGGGCACUGAGCCCCUUACAGCACGAUUGAUCUUCAGCAUCAUGAUAUCUAAUUUCUUCUUCUUGUUUCUUCUUUGCACACAAGUACUUAACAAACCGAAACCAACAACAGCAACAACCAACGACCCAUCCCUCUCAGGGCCCUAGCAUUUAUACACCCUCAAAAGCCCAUGGAAUUCCUAACAUCGUGUAAUCACAGCAACUCUCUGCAUCUGGCAAAAUCAUGCCCCUGCUAGAGCACGAGGAAAGUGAUGUCCGCUGCUGUGGCCAGUCCGAAGCGCCCGCCCCGCAUCCCACACCUGGGACCAAAAUGAAAGCACAUUCCUAGUUCUGUUUUUAAAGAGACAAA